AUUAUGCUCAUUCUUUUUUUUUUUAACCAGUAAGGAUCUGGAUAAAGAAAAACAUUUUAGAAAACCACUUGUAGAGUACCAUGAACCAGUCUCUCUUCUCCAUUUUAAAAAAUUUAUUGACUCACUUUUUUUCCAUAACUUUUUGAGAUAUUAUUUCAACCACUUUGCAUUUAGAGAAAAAGAGUCAGAGAGUGAUUAAGAAAUCUGCCCAAUGCUAUACUGAUAGAAGCUGGGAGAACUGGGAUUUGAGCUUACAUAGGCUAGUUCUAGCAUUUGUGAAGUUCUCGCCUAAUAAAAAUUAUCUGUAAUCAUAACCAGAGCAAGUCAUUUCUAACCUCCUGUCUAUAGACACGCGGAUACAUUUGUAAUGUUUUUGUUUGUUUGUUUUUAGCACGACAGAUCAAUUCCUGCUGGCAUUAUAGUUCUUUAACUAUCAUAGCUUCUCUGAUUUUUCAACACAUCUGUCAUCCGUAUUCUGCAGGCAUAGCCAACUCUGUCAGUGUCUCCUCAGGCAAUCAGAAUCAACAGACAGAAUGUAGGACAGAAAACUGGCUGCAAACAUGUUGGAAGGGCUGGAGGAGCGAAAGAGGGAAGAUCUGUUACCUAGAGAUAGUAACUUCCAGAAGUUACCACUAUACUAGUGCAGGAGAAGCAGAAAGGAAGAUGCUGCUACCCAGAGCCCACAGUCAUUGUGCCCCUGAUGCCGCUGGAACCCCACUGCAGCUGCUUUACAGGAAGCAGGGAAUUAGCGCUCUUGCUGAUGCUACAGGUAUCCAGGAUCCAAAAGUCAUCAGCCGCUGUCCCUGUUGCAGCCUAGGGAAACUGUCCCACUGAGGUUGUUGGGGUACCUGCUACUGCAUCUACUGUCUGAACCAUGUUGCCUGAGCAGAUGUCCAGGGCUCAGGCUUGCCUGCUGCUGUUACUGCUGCCACCAUGUUUAUCAGAGCUACUUCAAGAAGAGAAGAAAUCCUCCUCAUUUCCAGUUUUUUCCAGUGCCUCCCAUUGCUUCCCAGAAUGCCAAAUUCUCUUUGAGAGACAGCUGAAAGGAAGGUUUGGAAAAGACUCUGGUGUAAGCAGAUUCUGCUUCCCUGCAAUAGGGGGAAAGCAUAGGGUGGAACUGGAGCUGAGAGCUAAUCACGAAUGAGCAAAUCAGUCUUCAAGACAUUUACCUUUCCUUGAAACGUUUCCCUUCUUUUACCGUGUUUUCCAUGUCAUUAUUUUUCCACAAUUCUGCAUCAUAUUCUGUUAACUAUUAAUGCCCUGGAUAAGUUUAUUUGCUCUUUCUUAGGGUUAAUUUUUCUCCUUUUCUUCGAAGCUUUAGUUUGCAGGUUCAGCUUGUGUGGGAAUUUUCAUCUCCCUCCUCUUCAAGACUCCUUGGAUAUCAGUUUUUUGGUUGCCUUCACCAACUCUCCCCCCACCAUCUCUAGACCAGGGCAUGGUCUUAGUUGGUGGCUUGGACUCCUGUGGCUUGGAGUCUUUGGGGAUAUUAGAGAUCCAGUCACUGAGCUGGCAAAGGGAACACUGUCCUUGCUUCCAGCUUUAUGAAGAACGCUUUGCUCUGUCACCCCACGUAAAUAAUCAUGUUAUUCAAGGAUAAUGAAUGCAGCCACCAUGUAAUCAUCACUGACUCCAUGGCCAUGAGAAAAGAGACCUAAGAAAUGAUGCCCAUCCAGAAGAGUGAAGACUUCCUGAAAAUGUUCUUUUAACCUAAGAUGUAGGUUAAGAGGAGUGAAAAAAUGUUCUGUUUCUGACUGAUGAUGGAGCAACAAAGGAACUCCUAAAGAAGAAAUCAUCCAUUCAGUGAGAGCAAAUGAACACUCCAACAGACUGAAACAAAGCAUCUUUACAGGAGAUGUGAAUGCGAGAAAGCAAAGAGAACUACAGUCAGGGUCUCCGCUGGCAUGGCCCAAGCCCACCGUGGCAUGAUCCAGAGAGACGAGUCAGCAGAGCACUAUGGGCAGCUCCCAUACUCUUCGCAGAUCAACAAGCCAGCAUAUAACCCAGGGAGAUAGAUAAUAGUGAUGCUGUGCUCUGUAGAGGGUAGUGGCAACAGUGGGAUUUCUUCUGGAAUAAAUCUGUAGUGAGCCAGAUGUUUCUGCUGACUAUAUUACUUCUGACAGUGUAUAAUCCAAAAUUGUUUCCUUGGCCUUCCAAAAAGUUUUAUAAGCUCCCUAACGGCUGCAAUAAAUCCCUUUCUUCUUAAA
Molecule: long non-coding RNA, 2204 nt
Filed under: Homo sapiens (human)
Lineage: Eukaryota; Metazoa; Chordata; Mammalia; Primates; Hominidae
Description: HSALNT0293523
Source: RNAcentral